RNAcentral lists this small nucleolar RNA (97 nucleotides) under Gorilla gorilla gorilla (western lowland gorilla). RNAcentral describes it as "Small nucleolar RNA U13". It matches the Rfam family "Small nucleolar RNA U13". Lineage: Eukaryota; Metazoa; Chordata; Mammalia; Primates; Hominidae. The record is from Rfam by way of RNAcentral.
AUGUUAGUUUCACAAGCGAUGAUUGGGUUUUCAUGCCCAUGUGUGAGAUGUGCCUCCCUCAAACCUUGUUCUGAUUUGGCACGUUACCCAUCUGAUG